This 72-nucleotide transfer RNA is filed under the name Salmo salar (Atlantic salmon). It matches the Rfam family "tRNA". Rfam says of the family: Transfer RNA (tRNA) molecules are approximately 80 nucleotides in length. Their secondary structure includes four short double-helical elements and three loops (D, anti-codon, and T loops). Lineage: Eukaryota; Metazoa; Chordata; Actinopteri; Salmoniformes; Salmonidae. The record is from Rfam by way of RNAcentral.
UCCCAUGUGGCUCAGUUGGUAGAGCAUGGUGUUUGCAACGCCAGGGUUAUGGGUUCGAUUCCCACAGUGGAC